Onychostoma macrolepis is the source of this 5943-nucleotide long non-coding RNA. RefSeq lists it as uncharacterized. NCBI's taxonomy places the organism in Eukaryota, Metazoa, Chordata, Actinopteri, Cypriniformes, Cyprinidae. The transcript is spliced from 5 exons. The record is from RefSeq and is a predicted model, not a curated record.
ACGUUUAAGCGUGGUGGGUGUCUGUCCUGUUAGAUAAGACCUGACCCCGCUUCGCUUCAAACUCUUCAAAACAAGAGGAAGGGCGGGUUGAAAAUUGUGAGAUUCCAACCUUUUUUUUUUUUUGCACAAACGGAGCAAGAACGUAAUGUAAGCGUCUGUAAUGCACUGGCAUUCGGUGCAGUGAUACAAGUUCGAUGCUAUAGGCUAUACAACUAUAUACAAAGUUUGCUGAAAUAUCCACAAAAUAAACAAAAACACGGGAAUAGCGCGCAGUUAAUCUGACGAGAUGCAAUUUGCGUUCUUUUUUAAUUCAAUGCCACCAGAGCACCCAGGGCCGCUGCUGGCCAAAUAGGGUGCCCUAAGCAGAAUUGUAUUGUUGUGCCCCCUCCCCCAAAUAUUAUGGAUGUAAAAAAAAAAAAAAAAAAACACCUAUACGUGGUAAAAUAGAACUUUAAUAAAAUAUAAAAGUAAAUAAAUAAAUAAAAUAAAUUGUAACUAAACUAUUAUUUACAAAUUACAAUUGUAACUCUAGACAGUUAUGGCUAUUAUUUUAUUAAUACAGUUGUCUGAUUGAUUUUAUAGUCUCAAGCAUUCAAAAAUCAUGCAAAAAUUAAGCAGUUUUACCAUAAAACCUUGGUUAAUUUUUGUAAGGGUUGUGUUGUUCACAUGUUUUUGUUGAAUAAAUUAUAGAGGCUGUAGCAUUUCUAUCGUAAAAAGGUGGCCGACAAUUAAAGAUUAAGUGGAUAUUUGAAUUAGCCUAAAUGUUUGGUCAAUAUAACUGUCACGGGACGGUCGAGAGAUGAGGCGAGGACUCAAGUGCAGGAGAAAGUGGGUCUUUUAAUAAUAAAGAGCAACAAAAAAUGAACAAAAACCACCCCGAAGGGGAAAAACAGGCAGGCAGGCAGAGAACCACAGCACAAGUAAACAAACUCACACACGACAUGAAACAUCCGACAUUAAACAACAAAACAGCACAGUACUGCAGACACCAGGAGACUAUAUGGGGAGCCAAACGAGGAGGACACAGGUGAAGUAACUGAAACAAUAAUGAGAUAACAAGGAGGGCCCAUGGCACCAACAACAAACAACAAGCCAUGUGCUAACACACACAGUGAAAUCUGGUGGCCAACCAGGGCACCAGCAGGGCCGUGACAAUAACAAGGACUUGAUCGUCCUCUAACUGUAACAUCAGCAAUUACCAGGCCUUUGGUUCUGUUUAGAGGCAUUUGUAAUAAUAUGUAAUGUACAUGAAUUGUUUAUUUUGUAUUACAUUAUGUAUUUUAACAGUGUUAUUCAAUGAAACCAUAUAAUUAUUAAUUAACCAAUCAUUAUUGCCUCAUUGUUUUAUAGCCUAUAAUGCAUUUUAAGUAAUUUUAAAGGCUGUUGUUGGCUUAGAUCUGUUUUUAUAACCACAAAAAAAUAUUGUCUUAAUACUAUCUUAAUUCUUUGUAAACUAUUAAGUAGCCUAACAAAACCAUGGUUAAUUGUGGAUAGGCCUACCGUCCAUGGCUACAAGAACUAUGAUUUUUGGUUUUAUUCGUAGUAAAACCAUAAUUUUCGUAAGGGAACAUGGAAAGUCAGAGAGAAUACUAGCGUUGUUGGUGGUUAAAUUAUUACCGACAUUAAAACACGUUAUUAACGUCAACAUAAAAAAAAUAAAAUAAAAAAAGUUUCACUGGAUUAUGAAUGUUAAUGUACCUGAAAGUGAUGCAAGGGUCUCAUCUUUUUUUUUUUUUUUUUUUUGCUUUUCUCUGUGCCGAACUGCUAAUGUCUUUUUACAGGCGUAGUUGUCUAUCAAUUAUGAUAAUUUACCUUCAGCCGCAAACAUAGUGCGAGCAGUCGCGUGCUCGGAUGUGGCGCACCACAUGUUUAGCCUGUCUACUGCCUAAAUGCAUUUUUUAUCAUUAUAUAUAUGUAUUCAUGUUUAGAUUUUUAUUUAUGUAUAUGUUAACAUAUAACAUAUAAACGAAUUUUUUUUUUAUUAAUUUUUUUUUUUUUGAGCAAAUUCGAUUGUGCACCCCUGGGACUUUGUGCCCUAAGCAAACUGCGUACUCUGCCUACAGACCAAUUUCCUGUUAGUAAACAUUGUGACGUUUUUCUGUGGGCGGAGCUUCGGUGGUGGCAGAAAGUUCCCCCCUGACCGCUAACGCCAGAGCCAUAGAGUGGCUGUAUCCGAAAUCGCUCCCUAUACCCUCAUUCACUAUUCCCUACAUUAGUCCACUCAUACAGUUCACUUGAAGGAGUGAAUGAAAACGAGUGAGUGAAUUCGGACACUCGGAGCACCGGAAGGACUGCCGCUUUUGCAUAGUUUGCUUGCUGUUUAAUAAUCAUUUUAAAUGGGCAGCUCCAGUAGUAAGAUUGAACUCUGUCAUGGAAAUUAUGUAUAAACCUUAAUAGUCAAUUUGCAAUUAGUUUGUACCUUUGUUGUAUUACGCUGUAUUACGCCGUGGACGAGCGCUUCUAAAAUAAAUGAAUGGAUGAUUCAGCUGCGGCCCCAUCUUCUGGCGAGACGCGGGAAUUCAUUCGGCGCGCGACUCUCACAGUGCAUUAUGGGUUAUCUCUAGCCGUUGAGUGUACAUCGGUUGCACACUCGUUUUUGCGGUGCAUUGUGGGAUUGAAUGAGUGCACUCGAGAACAUCCACUAUGGUUUCGCCAUAGUGGGCGAUUUCGGAUACAGCCACAGACAUAGGCGUAAAUCCCGGGGGGGACGGGGGGACAGGACCCCCCCAUCUGAGGCUUGUCCCCCCUAAAAAUAUCAUUACAAGCGACUCUGUGUAUUGAAAAUAAUACAAUGGACAUAUACUUAAAAUAAUUGUUUGAUUAGUAAAACAAAAUAAACGCAAAAAAACGUUUUAAGUUCACAAAUGUUUAGAUUCCCCCCCUCCCUUUCCUCACAGUGGUUUGGUCCACUGCCUGCUUUCCUUCUUUACCGCUGCACACGAGUCCGGUGAGAGAGAGCUAGGUAGUUAUGUGUAAGUAGGCUGUCAAGGCUAUUUUAUUCUCUUUAAACAUCGGGUGAAAUGAUUCUUUCUCUUUAAUACAGAUGAUGCUGGAUCAUUAAUAAAUUAGUCAUGACAAAAAAAUUAUGACAUCCGAUGUAUUUUCUAUGAGCCAUUAUAAGGUUAACAAGCUUAAUAUGUAGCUUGUCUCCCACUACAACUAACACGGCGAUAAGCCUGUGUGUGAACUGAUGGUCUACUAUAUUAGCCUUACGUGUUGGGUUUCGCUCAAUAUGAUGUUAAGUGGCAGAUCAGUGGGUUUAAUGCGGUUGAAUUAAUGCGAAUGAGACAUAGGUUUCAGACGAAACCUAAAAUACUAUGGAUGACGCAAAAUAAUAAUUAUAAUAUGACCGCGUGGUGAACCAUGAACUCAUAUUUAAACACGGUCUCCAUGCUAUGUACACAUAUCUAUCCUUUCAAGUACAAUUUUGGCUGUAUUAUUUGUGUCCCCUUCAAAAAUUGCUCUUGAGAAAUUUUACGUUUAUUGUCCCCCCCCCCUACUGUCAGAUGAAAUUUACCCCUGGCCACAGAGUUGCGACAACGGAAGUUCAAAACUCUCGAUCGUCACGUGAUUCACGUAGCCCUCAAUAGUUCCAGGAAGUUAAUAGCGGGCAAUUGGAAUGCAUUGAGUUAGAGAGACAGAACUGCGAUUUUUGGUAAUUAGUAGGCAAUAAAAUAAUUUAUACGUAGUAUAUGUAGCUGUAUCAGUGUUGCUUUUAAAAGAUAAAAUCCGCGAAUAUUUGAGGAUUAAUGUGGUCAGCUAUCCUAAUACCUGCCAUGUUAACAUAUUUUAGGUUGAUGUUACCAUGGUAAAAGUCCAUGUUUGCUAUAUAAACGACAUCGUGGUCUUUUACCAAGGUAACUUCAGCCUCUCUGUAUAAAGACAAUUAUGUGUGUGUGUGUGUUUUCAAACAAUUUGUAUUUUAGUCAAGUGCAAUCACAUAUUAAUGUUCAUUGUCGUUUUAUUAAUCUCAUGGUAAAUGUUAAGUUUGUUGUCUUUGAAAAUUCAUUCCAAAUAGCCUAAGUGAAGAUAUUUUAAGACUAAGUUGGAAUUAAUCUCUUUUAAUGUUUUUGUUUCUUUGAUAUAUAUAAAUAUAUAUGUGUAGUAUAUUCAAAUUUAGAAUAACUUAAAAUAUUUGUACCCAUUUAAUCAUAUAUUUUUAUGUAAGUUAACUUUUGUUAUGCACUUAUUUACAUGCUAUAAAGCAUGUUGUCCUUGAACAGUCUCCACUAUAGUUUGCUGUGCUGCAUGGGAGCGCUCCAGUUACUCACAGAAAGGAGUGUGAAUGUAUGGUUGCCUUACUGACACGGAGAGGAGAGAAAAUGAUGCAUCAAGUUUUGUUCAAUUCACAUUUAUUUGUAUAAAUACUGUAUAAAUUUGUAUAAGCACUUUUUAUUAUAAACAUUGUUUCUAAGCAGCUUUACAGAAAAUGAAUGUUUCUACAAUACAAAUAAGAGUUCUGUUAACAGGUGUAACUGUGUCAAAGUAAUGCUCAUAUGGCAGAAUUUUUUUUAAAAUUAGGCUAUACAAAUCAUGCAGUUAAGUAAUGUCAUGUAUUCAGAAACAAUGAACAAAUUAAAUUAAAGCAAUGGUUACAUGAUUUGAUAUUGAUUACAAUGAAAGGAAAAUUGAUCAGUUUUGUAUGUUUAUUCAGAGUCAGCUUAAUCUGAAGUCCUCUCAAGGGCUGGCGUCAUCUCUUCACAGGUGCUGGUCAUCUGAAGUCUUCAUAAGAUGCUGGAUAUAGUCAGCAGGAGCAAUCUAUAGAUUACACCAACAAAAUGUGAUGUAAUCAUACUUGGGAACUGGCACCUUUUCACAAAGAACAGGGAAAGACUUGCCAAACCCAGUGAAGACUCAUUGUGAGGGUGAUAUCUCAUUACAGGGAGUCUUCAGCUGGUUCUUGUUCUGAUCCAGAUAGAGAAGGAGAAAAACACAGGAGGAAUGGUUAAGUGAUGCUCCAUCACAUUUCAGUCCUGUGGCAUCUGCUCAUUCAACUCAGUGCUUCUACAGUAGCUAAGACAUUUAAGUAUAAAAUACAGUACAGGUUUAUUGUGAUUACUUCUAUAAAAUAGUAGUGGUAGGCCUAAUACAUUUUUGGAAAUUUAGCCUAUAGCAUGAUUGUGAAAUGAAAACUGCUCGCCUAUUUUAAACUUUUUUAUUCUCACUCAGGUCCAUCAGCAUCCUUUGCAAUAAAUCUAAAUCUAUUAAAUAACUUCCCAGCAGCAGAAAUCGCGUUUAAAAGCCUUAAUUACACAACAACGAAUGAAACUGCCUGAAGAGAAUGAAUAACAUCCCGUAAAUCUACUAAUUAACAAGCACACUCGGGCGAUUCUGGCUGAAAUGCGGCACUGUCGGCUCAGUCACGACGUCGGUGAGAAGAUAAUGGGCCAGAGCCGCGCCGACUCUACAAAACACUUCUGGCUGACAGACGGCUUUUUCUCUCUGGGCCGAUCUCGGCUGAAAGCUGUUGUACGUGCAGCAGGUCCACACUCGGUGUAGUUGCGUGUAUCUACCUUCGGCCCGAGCUGGUUUUGUCUCCGGCGGCCGCUGCUGGAAUGAAGAUCAGCCGCUGAGAGAGAGAUUUGGCGGUUAAUCCUGAGGAGAUUUCAGCGGACACAGUUCUCAAGAGGAAUACUUCAGCUGCAAAAAGAAAUUCUGAGCUGCUGCAUGAACAUUCAUCAAACAUAUAAGGCUGCAAUUUGGAAAAACCUUCAAGCUAAUGCUGCUGAAAUGGAGGUCAAGGGGACUGAAGAGGUGGCUCCAGCUGAUCAAAAGGGUGGACUUCAGGAGGCAGACACACUCUUAAUCCGCUGAUCCAGUCGGUAUCCAGACCAGGUGGUGGACCUGCACCCAGGAACAACCACAACACAUCCCUGACUGUCAGCGGAGACCAUGUCAGCUAGAUGACAGAUCCCUGUGAAGACCUCAUUGAUGGCCCCAGCA